AUACUUUCCGCUAGCAGCUCGAAGGAUUUAGGGCUGGAGGUGGACUAAUAGCAACAUUUUAAUGAGAAGAAAGAUGCAAAAGGACAUCUUCAUUUCACACGAAGGACUAGGCAUCUGCCUGGAAGUUUAGGGUCGCAGAGAGAGGCUGAAGCAGAGAAGGGGAAAGAAACGCACCUGUCUGAAUUGCCAGCCUACAGACCCAGGCUCCCUCUGCAAUCACUGCCACCAAUAUCCUGGAAAUAUUCAAUUUAUUUAAGACAAUUCUGAAGCUCCCUUAUAGAGAAGCCAACAAAGCUGCUAUUGCAAAUAAGACAAAUACCUUACCCUGAAUAUGUCCAGUUCUUUUCUACCCCCGUUGCUUCCUGUUGGAUGACACCUACAGUCAUUUGCAAACAUGAGUAACAGACAUCCUGCAUAUGUUUACUCUUCCUUGCAAGCAUUUGCAGUUAGAGGUUGAGUUACUUCAGCUCAGACAGCGUUAUUGUUCUGUGUGCAUGGAAGUGCUGCAGUGUGAACUGGAAUCUGGGCCUUGAAGUAGAAACAAUAUAUAUAUAAAGGAAAUGCUGAGAAGAGUAAUAAAGAGCAAUCUUCCUCUGAGUAAAUAAAAAUUACAAAAGGAAACAAUAAUCAAUAUAUUUUACAGUUCAAGAGUUCAGCACAUGCUGUUGCAGUACAGUACAAUGGAUAGGCGGCAUCCAUGGAUUAUGAAUUCCCACGUUUAUGUGGGAACAGAAGUAAAUAACUGAAACAAGAGUCAUGUUGCAAGAAUGUAAAACCAAGCUGGACUUAAUGGUGUGCUAUAUUUAAAAGAGUGAUGUGGUCCAAGGAGUAUUCACUUUAUCUUUUCCUUCAAGCCUGACUGCCUGCAACCUGCCAGGACCAGCUAAUUCAAAAGAAACCAUUUUUCUCUAUUUCAAUCACCAAUGAAAUGCAAUAUGCAUUGCACUUUGUUGCCCUGAAUCAUGGAGCCUGACAUUACUGAGCAGCAAAGCCAGGCAGGGCAUGGCAUUACGGACGUCAGUACACAGCUCUUCUCUUCCAGUUGAACAGCCAUUGCUUGGAUCAGGUAUAGCAGAACAGUCAAGGACUACAGUGACGCUGUAUGCUCUUCCAGUUUUUUUUAGGUGGGAACAGGUGGCCGAAAGCUUCAUGCCAUGAUAUAAAAUCUUUUAGCUUUACGAUGCAGAUGCAGAAGUACUGUCAGAAACUUGUUCUUAGAUCACCUAUCCAAAGGGAGAUUCUGCAUGUGCUUCACCACCUUUCCUCUCCCAGCUUGCUCUCUCUCUUUCCCUUCUUUCCCUACAAUCUCCCAUGAGGUACUGCUCUCCAGUGCUGGUAUGAGGAACAGAGCAAUCAAUGAAUCUUCCAAGUGAGAAGAAACUUCCUGAGGUCUUCAAGUGAAUCACAGAAUAGCCUGGGUUGGAAGGCACCUCAAGGAUCAUGCAUCUACAGCCCCCCUGCCACAGGCAGGGCCACCAAACUCCCCAUUUAAUACUAGACCAGGCUGCCCAGGGCCCCAUCCAACUUGCCCUUAAACACCUCCAGUUUACGGGGCAUCCAUCCACAAUUUAUUUCUCAAUGGAGUGAAUUGUCCCCGUGUUUGCCAAUGCAAAGGCUGACGGAUGGCCCAUGGGUUUGGUUGAGAGCCAAAGAAACCCUCCACAGCAACACAGCUCUGUGGAAAGCAAGUCCUGGUGGUUUUACCCCACUACUCAUUGCUGGACCUCCCGGAUCAGUCCUGAAGGCACCCAAAUACAGUCCCUGGCUGCAGCAAAAAUGUUCCCCUUCCUCUGCCCACCUCGACAUUGGCACAGGCACUGACGUCCAAUCUCCUCAGGACCACAAAGGAAAGUUGGCUGCCCUGAAGCUGUAGGAACCUCUGUCCUGUUGGACAGACAUCCACGCGUUCAAAACCGCCGUCUUUCUGUAACCAGAAAUCAAUUAAGAAAUGUGGGAAACAAAAAAUUGCGCCCGUGCUGAGAACUUCAUAAAUAAAAUUUUACCCAUUAGG
Gallus gallus (chicken) is the source of this 2011-nucleotide long non-coding RNA. The record is from Ensembl. NCBI's taxonomy places the organism in Eukaryota, Metazoa, Chordata, Aves, Galliformes, Phasianidae.